This 460-nucleotide ribosomal RNA is filed under the name uncultured bacterium. RNAcentral's name for it is "partial 16S ribosomal RNA". It matches the Rfam family "Bacterial small subunit ribosomal RNA", at positions 338 to 795 of the family's 1533-position model. The record is from RNAcentral.
CCUACGGGAGGCAGCAGUGAGGAAUAUUGGUCAAUGGGCGUAAGCCUGAACCAGCCAAGCCGCGUGAAGGAUGAAGGCUCUAUGGAUUGUAAACUGCUUUUGUAAGGGGAUAAAGUGCGAGACGUGUACCGGGUUGUAAGUACCGUAUGAAUAAGGAUCGGCUAACUCCGUGCCAGCAGCCGCGGUAAUACGGAGGAUCCGAGCGUUAUCCGGAUUUAUUGGGUUUAAAGGGUGCGUAGGCGGUCUUUUAAGUCAGAGGUGAAAGUCUGUGGCUCAACCACGGAACUGCCGUUGAUACUGGUGGGCUAGAGAAUAUUUGCGGUAGGCGGAAUGUAUGGUGUAGCGGUGAAAUGCUUAGAGAUCAUACAGAACACCGAUUGCGAAGGCAGCUUACCAAGCCAUAACUGACGUUGAGGCACGAAAGCGUGGGUAGCAAACAGGAUUAGAUACCCUAGUAGUC